AAUAUUUGGCACAUAGAAAUUAAAUUCCAAAUAUUUAAAUCACACAUAAUAUAUUCACCAAUUAAAUUUUCCAAAUAAAUUUGAAGGUGGGUCACUCACCUGGAGCACGCAAUUAAACCACGAUCCACUACGGGAUCAAUUCUAUGACUCACCGGUGCUCCGAAUCGAAGCUCGAGUGAUGCUGAUCACAGAUUCGGUCUCAAUUUUCAAGGAUCGUACCCGACGGGGUUUGAAUUUCGCCGGGAAGCUUUUCGGAUUUCGGCUCCACAAUUCUCCCAAACCGUCGCGAAUUGGCGGAAACGGAUGCUGGAUUCGGGUUCAGGAGGUCGAACACAGCGGACUGGAGCCGGCCGGAAAACUGGGUACUCGCCGGAACAGUACUUUCGGGCUAGCCGCCGCGGUCACCGGCAACCGUCGCCGGCGGCGGUGCGUGCGGUGGCCGUUGGUCAUGAAAUUUUGCAGACUUGUAGAUCGUGAGGAGAGCAAUCCAACGGGACCGGCGGUGAGCAAAACGGAGGCCUGACGGCGGAGAAAUCACCGUUUGAAGAUUUCCGGCCCGCCGGAAAACGCUCCGAUCCCGGCGCGUCGGUGGUCUGAUGGCCGUGAUUUUUGGUGGGUCGGCCGGACUUGAGGAGAGGAUGAUGGGUGUACGGCGCGUGUGCCCGGAAGUGGGUUGAUUUGCGGUGGCUGGCAGUGGAGGGGAAAAACUCGCCGCCGAUCUUCGGAGGUCCGAUCCGGGCGCGUCCGGCGGCCGUUCGCCGUGAAACUUGGAGGUUUUGCAGGAAAUGGGGAGGGCAACCUUGCUGGCCGGUGCGUGUACAGUAACUCAGCCGGAAAAUUUGAAAAUCUCCGGGGGCCGGCGACUCUCUCUCUCUCUCUUUCUCUCUCCUCUCUCUCUUUCUCUCUCUUCCCCGAGAGUUUUAACAAAUAAAAACCCCUGUGUGACACUGUUCAUGCCACGUGGACCAAUCAGAAGCUGACACGUGGCAUUACUGUGCACUUAAGCCAGAUAUAUUAAAAUAAUACGGUAUCCGGCGAAUUUCAAACGUCCAUAACUUUUUAACCAAGCGUCCGAUUCAAGCGUACCGCUAGUCUAUGAACUCUUAUCGACGAGUACUUUACAACCAUACAAGAGUCAACCCAAAAUUACAUCUCAAGAAAAAGUCAACUCCCAGCACCUUUUGGACAGUUUGAACCUCAGCUUGUUUUGCCCAUAACUUUCAAACCGUAGCUCCGUUUUUGACGUGCUACCAGUCUACGAACUCGUGCCAACGUAUACUUUGUAACGGUACCUUAGUCAACCUAGAAUUCCAACCGGGUCAAAAAGUCAACUUUUGACCCCUUUGGUCAACGGUCAAAGUCAAAGUCAACGGUUACCUCGGUCAACGUGCAAAAAUUCCGACAUGGUUCGGGACGGGGUGUUACACAUGAAAGGGGAGAACAACCAUGUAGUUGCUGUGAUAGGUGAUGGGGAAAUGACAGCAGGGCAAGCAUAUAAAGCCAGGAACCAACGCUGGUUACCUUGACACUAAUCUUAUCAUCAUUUUAAAUGAUAACAAAGAAGUCUUUCCCAACUGCCACUCUUGAUGGUCCUGCUCCUCCUCUGUUGGAGCUCUAAGCAAAGCCUUAACAAAGUUGCAUUCUAGUAGAAAGUUUCGUCAACUACGUGAAGCAGCAAAGCAGGCUAUUUCCACCCUUUAUGUGGUAUUACCAGCCAUUCUGGAGGAGCUGUUGAUUUAGCAAUUUCUAUUUCACCAUUAGCUAGGGCAAUUAAAAGCAUUACCCACAUCGUUUGAAAGAUAAGUGAAGUCGGCAAUUUGGAGGCCAAGCGCAUGAAAUUGCUGCAAAAGUUGACACCUAUAUUAGAGGGAUAUCGGGUGGUUCAGGGCUUCUUUGUUUGAAGAACUUGGACUGUACUAUAUUGGUCCAGUUGAUGGCCAUAACGUCGAAGAUCUUGUUGAUAUUUUGAACAAGGUUAAGGAAAUGCCAGCAUCAGACCCUGUUCUCAUACAUAUCAUCACAGAGAAAGGAAAUGGCCGUGCUCCAGCUGAAGUUGCUUCUGAUAAGAUGCAUGACAUGGUGAAAUUCGAACCCAGAUGGGGGAAGCAGUUGAAGGCCAAGUCGUCUACUCGUUCAUUUACCCAGUACAUUGCAGAGGCAGAGGCUGAUGAUAAAAUUGUGGCAAUUCAUGCUGCAAUGGGAGGUGGAACUGGACUCAAUUUAUUCCAGAAACAAUUUUCGGAAAGAUAUUUCGACGUUGGAAUAACAGACCACCAUGCUGUAACCUUUGCUGCAGGCCUAGCUACUGAAGGCUUGAAGCCUUUUUGUGCUGUUUACUCUUCUUUUCUGCAGAGAGGAUAUGAUCAGGUGUAUAUAUAUAUAAUUAGCUUCUCUUCUUUGGGACUUAUUUGGGAUUGAUCAGCUAUUUACUCUUCUUUUCUGCAGAGAGGAUACGUCGAACGAAUUUUCACAUUAUUUACCCCCCCCCCCCCCCCCCCCAAAAAAAAAAAAAAAAAAAAAAAAACUCUAUAUUUGGAUUACUUUUAAUAACUCUAUUUCCAUAUUACUCUACUUUGUUUUACAUUUACAAUGGGAAAAAGAAAAAGAAAACCUAUGUUUUGAUUAUACUCAGCAAAAUAAAUAAAUAAAUAAAAUUUUAUAUCUGGAUCCAUUUGUUACGGAGCAGGCAGAAAGAGAGAUGAGGUCCAAAUAUCUGUCCACAGCCCCUCAUAAAAUAUUCAUAAAAAAACAUGAGAGAGUUGGAAAGGACAAAACAGUGCAGCAAAUUACAGUGGAGAAGUCAAAUAAUUCCGUGGCAACAACGCCAUCAACUGUCGUAUGAGAUGAUUUGAUGCCAUAGGUUCUGAACAAACUUGAACCAUUGGAUUCUUUUACUUGCCUAAAAUUAAACAUAAUCAUCAUUGAUAUUUUUAGUUUUUAGAUUUAGAAGAUAAAUUAUAUAGUUAAUAGUUUAUUCAAUGUAUAUGGCUUAUUCUUUAAUGUUAUGCAAAGCCACGGUUUCCUAACACAA
This is a long non-coding RNA of Ziziphus jujuba (common jujube), 3031 nucleotides long. RefSeq lists it as uncharacterized. The transcript is spliced from 3 exons. The record is from RefSeq and is a predicted model, not a curated record. Lineage: Eukaryota; Viridiplantae; Streptophyta; Magnoliopsida; Rosales; Rhamnaceae.